UACAGAGACUGCAAGCGUUAUUCGGAUUCACUGGGCGUAAAGGGUGCGCAGGCGGCCAAGUGUGUGAGGCGUGAAAGCCUGGGGCUUAACUCCAGAAUUGCACCUCAAACUACAUGGCUAGAGCAUUGGAGAGGGUGGCAGAAUUCACGGUGUAGCAGUGAAAUGCGUAGAUAUCGUGAGGAAUACCAGAGGCGAAGGCGGCUACCUGGACAAUUGCUGACGCUCAGGCACGAAAGCGUGGGGAGCAAAAGGG
This 253-nucleotide ribosomal RNA is filed under the name uncultured bacterium. RNAcentral's name for it is "partial 16S ribosomal RNA". It matches the Rfam family "Bacterial small subunit ribosomal RNA", at positions 524 to 776 of the family's 1533-position model. The record is from RNAcentral.